This is a long non-coding RNA of Cydia pomonella (codling moth), 3810 nucleotides long. RefSeq lists it as uncharacterized. NCBI's taxonomy places the organism in Eukaryota, Metazoa, Arthropoda, Insecta, Lepidoptera, Tortricidae. The record is from RefSeq and is a predicted model, not a curated record. The transcript has 2 exons.
UUAUUUAUUAUUAUUAUUUAUGGCAAAUUUUUGUUCUAAAAUUGUGUACCUACUUUUCUAAAACAAUGGGAUUCUUAUUAAAAAUGCGACCAUUACAAUUAUUAUUUAGAUAUCAUACAAUUGUAACUUUUAUAUGUAGGUACUUAGGAAUUUGUACAUGAGAAAACUAUAAUACAGAAAAAUCCUGACCAACGUAUAACACAGUCCUGAAUCAGAUCUGCCCGAGCCAAAGUAUGCGACGUCGCAGCGAGGCAGACCAGUGAUGUUACUCUGCGACUACCGGUUCAACCGCUGUGCGCACAGCAAAGAGCCGCGUGUGCGUUGGCUUUGCCGCCAUUACGGAUGUAGAGCGACUGUGACGACGCGGGAUGGUAAAAUUGUGAAAGCCAAUAACGAACAUAAUCAUUGUCUCGACGUCGCAGCGAGGCAGACCAGUGAUGUUACUCGGCGACUACCGGUUUAACCGCUGGGCGCAUCGCAAAACGCCGCGUGUGCGUUGCGUUGGCUUUUUCGCCAUUACUGGGCAGAGCAACUGUGAUGAUGCGGGAUAAUAAAAUUGCGAAUGCCAAGAACGGACAUAAUCAUUGAAGCUCAUGAUUUAAGAAAAUUUGUUGUUAAAUGCAAAUUAAAUUAUGUAUAAUACUUGUAGAAACUAUUACAAGAAAUAUGUUUAUUACAAAAAUUUCAACAAAACCAUCUUUAAUUCUUAUUUUAAACAACAAGGAAUGCAACCGGAAAAAAUUGUGUAAAAAACCAACCUAUAAAUCACCGUUAAUUUAUCAGUAUUGUAGGUAUGUUUGCACGGUGGUGGUUUAUUACCCGUAAUAUAAUACUAUAACAAUUACCGGUAUAUCUCAUACUAAAUAAAAUUAAGGGAAUUCAAUCAGUAAAUAUUGCUUCUCAUUUUUUUUCAUUUGCAUACUGUCCCUCUCUGUUCUUCAGGUCUGCCCAUGUUCACCGUGUCACGGUCCGGAAACCCGGUGAUGAUACUGGGAUGCUACCGGUACUUUAAGGCAGCCGCGAGCAGAGGCGCACGCCUGCGCUGGCUGUGCGUGAAGAACAGGAGUAAGGCCUGCAAGGCUACCGUUAUCACUCUCGAGGAAAACGUAUUUGCUUUCCGGCAUGAACACAACCAUUGAGUUUCCUAUAAUUUAUAUGGUUAAACAAGUUAAAUAUUUUUUAAAGAGUUUUUUUUUUAUCGAAAUAUGUACAUACUAUCGACAAGCCCGCUGCAGUGUCCAUGUACCCUAAAUAAUAUUAAUAUAGGUUUAAGAACAUUAAUUAUGCCAACGAUAUAAUUAUAAUUAUUACGAUAUAACGAUAAUAAUUAUCAAUUCAGUUAGGGAAUGCAAGCGGUAAAUAUUUACUAGUAUAAAUAUAGGUAAUUUACCGUUUUACGGGUAGUUUCUGUAAAAAAAAUUACCAUCUUUACUUUUUCAAGUGUAAAUAAUGAUUGUCAACAGAUGUACCAGUAUUUACAAUCUCUCGGUACGGGCGACCGGUGAUGCUCGUGGGGCGGUACCGGUACAACAAAUGGGUUAGGAGCAGCGGCCCCCGCGCGCGCUGGCUCUGCGUGCGUAGAAAUAGCAGAGUGAGCUGUAAAGCUACUGUCCUUACCCACAAUGAUAUUUUCCUGGCUUUUCGCUACGAACAUAACCAUUAGAUCCAAAUGGGUCUGAAGCAGCGGCCCCCGCGCGCGCUGGCUCUGCGUGCAUUGAAACAGCAGAGAGAGCUAACCAGGUUUAAAAAAGUACAAAACAAACCCGCGCGGUCGUUAGAGGAAUAAAAUAAUACUAUCAUGAAUUUUCAAGAAUUAUGCUCUACAUGUUUCGGGAUUUUAUUGCAGGGAACGAAACAAAAUAUGACAAGCAAAUUUAGAUGCAUAAUUACGCGAGAGCAGAACGGUUAUCUAUAAAGUAUAUUUCAAUAUAUUUAACCAUUGUUUAUUAAAUAAAUCUACAUCAAUAAGCGUCAUUUACAUUUCAUGUAUGGAGGGUAGAGGUAAGGAGAACAAUCUACAUGUAUGAAAAGUGUCCAUCAAAGAACCCUAAAUAGGUGUCGCCACGAUACAUCGCGAACAAGUUACGAGUAUUGACUUUGAUAUAAAAUUAAAAUGACUGACAGCGCACUUCACUCCGUCAUUAACGUCUAAGCUUAUAUAAUGUCCUUGUGUUACCCUAGCACCACCGGAGACAUUUCGAACUAUUAUUUACAGCUGCCAGCUCAGCCAGCUGGACACUUUAGCAACAGUUCUCCCAUAAGAGAUUGUUCUCCUUACCUUUACCCUCCAUAAUUUCUUAAUGUCAAUCUAAAGCGAAUUUUGCUAUUUAUUUUACCAGAUCAGCCAGUAUUUACUUCAUCCAGACGCGGUAAGCCGGUAUUGCUGGUGGAGGGUUACCGGUAUAAUAAAUGGGCUGGCAGCAAAGGUCCGCGUGCGCGCUGGUACUGUGUCAAAUCAUCUAGCAAUUCACGCAAAGCUGUGGCUAUAACCUGCGAUGAUGUCAUUGUGGCUUUCCGUCAUGAACAUAACCAUUAAAUUAAAUCUACCUACCAACAGGACAAAAAAAAGUUAUAAAUAAAGAUAUGAAAGAAAAAUUUGAUUUUCUUAUUACAGAACCACCAUGAUUAACCCUAGUCUUACCUGUAUCUGAAGGUGACAAUGACAACAGGGCCAAAGAUCAUUAGUGAAUAUAGCCAGGUAUCAAACAAAACUUUAUUUCAAUGCGUCAUAUGUAUAUGACGGGAUUUUAAUUCUACUGAUAUUUUUAAUUAUUGUUAUUAGAUCUGCCAUUUUUCACUACAUCCCGUCGCGGAAGACCGGUAAUGCUGGUAGGGGGUCACCGGUAUAAUAAGUGGAGUGGCAGCAAAGGACCCUCCGCGCGAUGGCAGUGUGUCAAGUCUAGCAGCACCAGCUGCAGAGCAGUCGUCAAAACCUAUAAUAAUGGCAUUGUGGCUUUCCGUUAUGAUCAUAAUCAUAAUUAAUAAGCUGAAAGGAAACAGAAUAAAUGGAUUAUUCACACUCAUCACUAAGUUAUUACCAGUGAUAACAACUGCGAUUUUUGUCACACUUGUACCAAGUUUUUUUUUCACAAUAUUCUAAUGUCCAAUCAAAAAUGCCUAUAUAUACAAAGUGGAUUAUUUCUUCUGAUUUUUUAAAAAUAAAUUUAUUGGUACAGGUCAAAGAAAACGUAUCUAGAUAUUCUAGAUAUGAAUCAAUUUCUAGCCUGCCAACGAUCGGCCAUAAAAAUGCGUUGUUAAUUUUUUUAAAUUAACUUGAAAUAUACUGUUUCAGAUCAGCCAAUAUUUACUACAUCCCGAUUCGGGAAGCCUGUAAUGUUAUUGGGAGGUCACCGGUACAACAGAUCUUCGAAAUGCAAAAGUCCCCGCGUUCGCUGGCCGUGUGUCAAGUAUAGCUACAAGAACUGCAGGGCGGUUGUCAUCACCUGUCAAAAUGAAAUUGUGGCUUACCAUCAUGAACAUAAUCAUUGAUUAAUAGGCUGAAAGGAAAACAGUUUUUUUUUUAUGAAAUUAUAAUUAAAACAAGUUAGUACACAUACCGUCCUUUACAUUUUUAUAGCGGUAAGACGUUCCUAUCCAUUUCUCUAUGCUGCUAACAAAACAAGUGAUCUUGACGCCACGGUCACUGAACAGCUAUCUUGAAGUGUGGAAACCUAAAAAAUUGCGAAUUUGUCGGUGAAAUAUUAAGUAUAGUUGAUAUACAAUCUAUUUACUUAUUAAUAAAGUGUAAUGUUUAUGUAAAUAUUAUUUCCUUUAUGGAAGUUACAAAAUAAACUAAAAUUUUGAAACCUC